CUCUCAUUUCCAACUGACCACUCUCUCUCUAACCCACACUCUCUAUGAUACUCCAUCUCAUCUCUCUCCAAACCUCGACCUACCUCCAUCGUCUGGAAAAUGAUUCCAACGGUGGCUCCACCUCGAACCACCCUUCAAUCCUAUGUUUCCUAGGUUUUCGAUUGAAGUUAAACUGGAACCUUCAAUCAAACAUAAAAUCGCCCCUCUAACCAUCGUAGGCCCUCACCAGAGAAGAUGAAGAUUCAUCUUCUCCGACCACCCGCCACCGUCAAAACCCAUAUAUCCCAUAAACAUCUGUAAAUCACCUCAAACUUUCCUCUAAACCACAGAUCGGGCCCCCUAGUUACUGAUUCAGACUCUCCCGACCCUAAACACAAACUUUUGGCAAACCCUAAACCGAACCCAAACAAACCCUUAUCCAUUCAUCCACAGUCAUAUGCAAAAACAAAAACAUAAGCAAACAUACACCAAUCAGCAAGACAUAAAAAAGGGUUUAACAUUAGUGGUACGAGCCUACGGGAAGGAGGACUUUCUCGAUCACAAAGGAUGCAAAGUCUGGAUUAACAGAGCUAAUGCUCAAGUCAAUUAGGGUUUCAGCGUGAAACCCAAAAUAUCUUAAUCGGAUCAUUGAUUGUUCUGUUUAGGAUUUUGCAGUGAUCUAGUGUUCUCUCUCUUUCAAGUUUAGUUUUAGGUUUUUAUAGCAUUAGGUGUUAAUUCUGAUUAGGAAAAUAUUUUAGGGCAAAUUGAUUAUGAAUGCAACAAUCCAUUGAUUGCAUGUAUCUGGUCCAAUUUCUAUGUAAAUCCUAAUUUUUUAUGAUGUAUCAGUAAUAUGUUUUUAGAAAGUUUUGAUAUGUAUUUUUUCAUUACUU
This is a long non-coding RNA of Lathyrus oleraceus (garden pea), 869 nucleotides long. RefSeq lists it as uncharacterized. The record is from RefSeq and is a predicted model, not a curated record. NCBI's taxonomy places the organism in Eukaryota, Viridiplantae, Streptophyta, Magnoliopsida, Fabales, Fabaceae. The transcript has 2 exons.